CACGUAGGGGGCGAGCGUUGUCCGGAUUCAUUGGGCGUAAAGCGCGCGCAGGCGGCUCGGAAAGUCGGGUGUGAAAACUCGGGGCUCAACCCCGGGCGUGCAUCCGAUACUGCCGGGCUUGAGGCAGGUAGGGGAGAUCGGAAUUCCUGGUGUAGCGGUGAAAUGCGCAGAUAUCAGGAGGAACACCGGUGGCGAAGGCGGAUCUCUGGGCCUGUCCUGACGCUGAGGAGCGAAAGCGUGGGGAGCGAACAGG
RNAcentral lists this ribosomal RNA (253 nucleotides) under uncultured bacterium. RNAcentral describes it as "partial 16S ribosomal RNA". It matches the Rfam family "Bacterial small subunit ribosomal RNA", at positions 524 to 776 of the family's 1533-position model. The record is from RNAcentral.